RNAcentral lists this long non-coding RNA (3554 nucleotides) under Lathyrus oleraceus (garden pea). RNAcentral's name for it is "Pisum sativum (pea) long non-coding RNA (PSAT_LNC041113)". Lineage: Eukaryota; Viridiplantae; Streptophyta; Magnoliopsida; Fabales; Fabaceae. The record is from RNAcentral.
AAAACCCUAUCAUAAUAAUUGGUGACGCAAGAAUAAAAUUGAAAAUAAGAGGAAACACAAAUGAAUAGGGUGACAAAAUAAAACAGCUAGAGAUGUGUAACCUUCAAAACAUCAACCUAUAUCAGAAAUCACUUGAUCUGUACAUUUGAUAGAUAAGAAAGAAAAUUACUCAUAAAAGAUAGGAAAAUACGGAAAAUAUGACAAUUUUAUAGCAGUACGUAUUUUUUUACCAUUUGUAUUUUGUUUAUACAAUUAUAAAGUGAUUAUGAACCAGAUAUUUCUAUUAAAUAAUGUAAGCUAAAUAUUUUUGUUAAGUACAUCCUCAAUUAUAUACGUCAAUCAAACAUGUAAUGUGUAACAAACUUUGACAUUAAAUAGUUUAGAAAGAUAUGUAUUGAACAUCAAAAUUAAUUUAAUUUUCACUUAUAUCCUAAAGAACAUAAAAUGUCAUCUUCUAUAUUCUUAUAAUUAAACAAUUAACAUAAGUUAUACAUAUUAAAAAUAUGCUAAAAUACUAAAUAUAAGUAGAAAAUUAAAGAGAGAAAAAGAAAAUAGAAUAAUUACAAGAAAAUGAAAAACGAAAAAGAAAAUAUAAUAAUUACAAGAAAAUGAAAAUGAGACCGUAUGGUAUAAAGGAAACCAACCCAAUCAUUUUUCCAGUGUUACAUUAGCAUCACCUUUAUUAUUGUGAGAUCCUCAUAAUCCUAACAAACAUCUCAAUCUCAUCAAAACAAUACAAAAAACCCGAUCAUAAUCAUUGGUGAGGCAAGAAUAAAAUUGAAAAUAAGAGGAAACACAGAUGAAUAGAGUGACAAAAUAAACAAGUUAGAGAUGUGUAACCUUCAAAAGAUCAACCUAUAUCAGAAAUCACUUGAUCUGUACAUUUGAUAGAUAAGAAAGAAAAUGACUCAUAAAAGAAAGAAAAAAAAGGAAAAUAUGACAAUUUAUCAAGUGUACGUAUUUUUUUACCCUUUGUAUUUUGUUUAUACAAUCAUAAAGUGAUCAUGAACAAGAGAUUUCUAUUAAAUAGUGUAAGCUAAAUAUUUCUAUUAAGUACAUCCUCACUUAUAUAAAUCAAUCGAACAUGUAAUGAUUAACAAACCUUGACAUUAAAUAGUUUAGAAAGAUAUGUAUUGAACAUCAAAAUUAAUUAAAUAUAUACUUAUAUCCUAAAGAACAUACAAUGUCAUCUUCUAUAUUCUGAUAAUUAAACAAUUAACAUAAGUUAUACAGAUUAAAAAAUAUGCUAAAAUACUAAUUAUAAGUAGAAAAUGAAAAAGAAAAAAAGAAAACAGAAUAAUUAUAAGAAAAUGAAAAUGAGAUCGUGUGGUAUAAAGGAAACCAACUCAAUCAUUUUUCCAGUGUUACAUUAGCAUCACCUUUAUUAUUGUGAGAUCCUCAUAAUCCUAACAAACAUCUCAAUCUCAUCAAAACAAUACAAAAAACCCGAUCAUAAUCAUUGGUGAGGCAAGAAUAAAAUUGAAAAUAAGAGGAAACACAGAUGAAUAGAGUGACAAAAUAAACAAGUUAGAGAUGUGUAACCUUCAAAAGAUCAACCUAUAUCAGAAAUCACUUGAUCUGUACAUUUGAUAGAUAAGAAAGAAAAUGACUCAUAAAAGAAAGAAAAAAAAGGAAAAUAUGACAAUUUAUCAAGUGUACGUAUUUUUUUACCCUUUGUAUUUUGUUUAUACAAUCAUAAAGUGAUCAUGAACAAGAGAUUUCUAUUAAAUAGUGUAAGCUAAAUAUUUCUAUUAAGUACAUCCUCACUUAUAUAAAUCAAUCGAACAUGUAAUGAUUAACAAACCUUGACAUUAAAUAGUUUAGAAAGAUAUGUAUUGAACAUCAAAAUUAAUUAAAUAUAUACUUAUAUCCUAAAGAACAUACAAUGUCAUCUUCUAUAUUCUGAUAAUUAAACAAUUAACAUAAGUUAUACAGAUUAAAAAAUAUGCUAAAAUACUAAUUAUAAGUAGAAAAUGAAAAAGAAAAAAAGAAAACAGAAUAAUUAUAAGAAAAUGAAAAUGAGAUCGUGUGGUAUAAAGGAAACCAACUCAAUCAUUUUUCCAGUGUUACAUUAGCAUCACCUUUAUUAUUGUGAGAUCCUCAUAAUCCUAACAAACAUCUCAAUCUCAUCAAAACAAUACAAAAAACCCGAUCAUAAUCAUUGGUGAGGCAAGAAUAAAAUUGAAAAUAAGAGGAAACACAGAUGAAUAGAGUGACAAAAUAAACAAGUUAGAGAUGUGUAACCUUCAAAAGAUCAACCUAUAUCAGAAAUCACUUGAUCUGUACAUUUGAUAGAUAAGAAAGAAAAUGACUCAUAAAAGAAAGAAAAAAAAGGAAAAUAUGACAAUUUAUCAAGUGUACGUAUUUUUUUACCCUUUGUAUUUUGUUUAUACAAUCAUAAAGUGAUCAUGAACAAGAGAUUUCUAUUAAAUAGUGUAAGCUAAAUAUUUCUAUUAAGUACAUCCUCACUUAUAUAAAUCAAUCGAACAUGUAAUGAUUAACAAACCUUGACAUUAAAUAGUUUAGAAAGAUAUGUAUUGAACAUCAAAAUUAAUUAAAUAUAUACUUAUAUCCUAAAGAACAUACAAUGUCAUCUUCUAUAUUCUGAUAAUUAAACAAUUAACAUAAGUUAUACAGAUUAAAAAAUAUGCUAAAAUACUAAUUAUAAGUAGAAAAUGAAAAAGAAAAAAAGAAAACAGAAUAAUUAUAAGAAAAUGAAAAUGAGAUCGUGUGGUAUAAAGGAAACCAACUCAAUCAUUUUUCCAGUGUUACAUUAGCAUCACCUUUAUUAUUGUGAGAUCCUCAUAAUCCUAACAAUCAUCUCAAUCUCAUCAAAACAAUAUGAAAAACCCUAUCAUAAUAAUUGGUGACGCAAGAAUAAAAUUGAAAAUAAGAGGAAACACGGAUGAAUAGAGUGACAAAAUAAACAAGUUAGAGAUACGUAACCUUCAAAAGAUCAACCUAUAUCCGAAACCACUUGAUUUGUACAUUUUAUAGAUAAGAAAGAAAAUUACUCAUAAAAGAUAGGAAAAUACGGAAAAUAUGACAAUUUUAUAGGAGUACGUAUUUCUUUAGCCUUUGUAUUUUGUUUAUACAAUUAUAAAGUGAUUAUGAACCAGAUAUUUCUAUUAAAUAAUGUAAGCUAAAUAUUUUUGUUAAGUACAUCCUCAAUUAUAUACGUCAAUCAAACAUGUAAUGUGUAACAAACUUUGACAUUAAAUAGUUUAGAAAGACAUGUAUUGAACAUCAAAAUUAAUUUAAUUUUCACUUAUAUCCUAAAGAACACAAAAUGUCAUCUUCUAUAUUCUUAUAAUUAAACAAUUAACAUAAGUUAUACAUAUUAAAAAUAUGCUAAAAUACUAAAUAUAAGUAGAAAAUUAAAGAGAGAAAACGAAAAUAGAAUAAUUACAAGAAAAUGAAAAACGAAAAAGAAAAUAUAAUAAUUACAAGAAAAUGAAAAUGAGACCGUAUGGUAUAAAGGAAACCAACCCAAUCAUUUUUCCAGUGUUACAUUAGCAUCACCUUUAUUAUUGUGAGAUCCUCAUAAUCCUAAC